GCUACACGAUGACCAACCCCCCAAAAGGACCCCCCAGCCUGGUAUAUAUGCGGCUGGGGGGAGAAGGGGGAGGGUAAGCAAGAACUUCCAGAGCAUUCUCUUACUUGCUGCUAUUAUCUCUCCUUCUCCUCCAAUCUCCUCUGACUUGAUCGUCGGAGGGCCCCCACUACCCCAGUGGUGGUGCGAGGCUUGCUUGCAGGUUUCCCGGUGGAAGGUGGAGCGCAAUCAACACCAAUCAAGGCAACUCAAACGGAACCCCGUUCACACCGCUGUGCCAAUCGUUCUCGGUUUGGACCACCAGCAACAGUUGGCACUAGAGGAAGGGCCCGAAUCUCAGAGCGAUCGUAAUGGCACGGCGAGGUGGUCGUGGAGCUUCCAAUGCCUCCAGUCGCGGGGCCUCUCGCGCCUCCGGCCGGGAGGCCGCUGCGUCUCCAAUACAUUCUCAGCAACACUCCACCGCUCCACCUCCCAUUCAGAUGGUCGAAGCCGCUCAGUUCGACCAGUUAGCCCAGCAGGUUCGCACCCUCGCGGAGGCAGUGCAGAACCUGCAGGGUGUGAUGUCUCGGGUGCCG
Molecule: long non-coding RNA, 572 nt
Filed under: Phoenix dactylifera (date palm)
Lineage: Eukaryota; Viridiplantae; Streptophyta; Magnoliopsida; Arecales; Arecaceae
Description: long non-coding RNA (PDAC_LNC009635)
Source: RNAcentral